This 552-nucleotide ribosomal RNA is filed under the name Astyanax aeneus (banded tetra). RNAcentral describes it as "partial 16S large subunit ribosomal RNA". It matches the Rfam family "Bacterial large subunit ribosomal RNA", at positions 1848 to 2605 of the family's 2925-position model. The record is from RNAcentral. Lineage: Eukaryota; Metazoa; Chordata; Actinopteri; Characiformes; Acestrorhamphidae.
AGAGGUCCUACCUGCCCAGUGAUUUUAUUAAACGGCCGCGGUAUUUUGACCGUGCAAAGGUAGCGCAAUCACUUGUUUUUUAAAUAAAGACCUGUAUGAAUGGUGAAACGAGGGCUUAACUGUCUCCCUUUUCUGAUCAGUGAAAUUGAUCUACCCGUGCAGAAGCGGGUAUAAGAAUACAAGACGAGAAGACCCUAUGGAGCUUAAGACACAAAAUCAACUAUGUUAAAAACCCUUAUUAAAAGAAUAAAACAAAACAGCAACUGAUUAGCGUCUUCGGUUGGGGCGACCACGGGGGAAAACCAAUCCCCCACGUGGAACGGGAUUACUCCUAAAACCAUGAGGGACACCUCUAAGUCACAGAACCUCUGACCAAAUGAUCCGGUAAAUAACCGAUCAACGAACCAAGUUACCCUAGGGAUAACAGCGCAAUCCCCUUCAAGAGUUCAUAUCGACAAGGGGGUUUACGACCUCGAUGUUGGAUCAGGACAUCCUAAUGGUGCAGCCGCUAUUAAGGGUUCGUUUGUUCAACGAUUAAAGUCCUACGUGAUC